RNAcentral lists this ribosomal RNA (376 nucleotides) under uncultured bacterium. Its description in RNAcentral is "bacterial SSU rRNA". It matches the Rfam family "Bacterial small subunit ribosomal RNA", at positions 521 to 896 of the family's 1533-position model. The record is from RNAcentral.
UAAGACGAACCGUGCGAACGUUGUUCGGAAUCACUGGGCUUAAAGGGCGCGUAGGCGGGCAGUCAAGUCAGGGGUGAAAUCCCACGGCUCAACCGUGGAAGUGCCUUUGAUACUGGCUGUCUCGAGGGAGGUAGGGGCGUGCGGAACUUCCGGUGGAGCGGUGAAAUGCGUAGAUAUCGGAAGGAACGCCGGUGGCGAAAGCGGCGCGCUGGACCUCUUCUGACGCUGAGGCGCGAAAGCCAGGGGAGCAAACGGGAUUAGAUACCCCGGUAGUCCUGGCCCUAAACGAUGGGUACUAGGUAGUGGACUUGACAUGGGUUCACUGCCGAAGCAAAAGUGUUAAGUACCCCGCCUGGGGAGUAUGGUCGCAAGGCUG